This is a non-coding RNA of Coffea arabica (coffee), 321 nucleotides long. The record is from RefSeq and is a predicted model, not a curated record. Lineage: Eukaryota; Viridiplantae; Streptophyta; Magnoliopsida; Gentianales; Rubiaceae.
GGGAAAGACUAGUAAUAACUAAUAACAAUAAUAAUAACUAUUCCAACUGCAAAGCCUGCAAUAUACACAAAGCAUUCACAGACUUUGGCCAUUCAAAACCUACUUUUGUUAAUACUCUGUACUGGGGCCAGAGGAUAUCAAUUUCAGUCGAGUCUUCAAGAAUUGUUCCAGAUCAUCCACACCAGGGGCUUCUGAGUUGGCUGCAACUUCUGAAGGCUAUAAAUUGAGGAGGGGCAUGCAACUUUGAUUCUCAUCAAACAUUUUCUUUCAACUGCAAAACUCCCAACCUCCAGAAAGAUUCAAAAUUUAUCUUCUGAAAAA